RNAcentral lists this long non-coding RNA (18290 nucleotides) under Vitis vinifera (wine grape). RNAcentral's name for it is "long non-coding RNA (VVIN_LNC000596)". The record is from RNAcentral. Lineage: Eukaryota; Viridiplantae; Streptophyta; Magnoliopsida; Vitales; Vitaceae.
CCGACUUCAGGUGGCCCAGACCCCUCAGAGUGGACCCCUCCAAAAUGGAUCACAGUAAGAAGUGCACCUACCAUAAGGAGCAUGGACACACUACGGAGACGUGCAGGAGCCUCCAUUAUUUGGUGGAAAAGCUCAUAAACUAUAUCCACGGAGGACCACUGGAUGAGGAGUACGACUCCAAACGAAAGAGACAGAGGCUGUUGCGUGCAGCAUCAGUGCUUGAGCGCGUCAACUCUAUACGGCCUGGGAUAACUGGUAGGGGCCCCUGACCCAUAGAUGGAACAAUCAUUUUCCCCCCGAUAGAACCCACACGGAUAUUACAACCACACUGCGACGCUCUCAUCCUAUCCUUGGGGAUGGGAGACUUUGACGUGAGACGCAUCCUAGUCGACCCAGGCAACUCGGCCGAUCUUUUACAAGCGUCGGUAAUUAGUCACAUGGGACGCGAUCUAUCCGACCUUGAAAACCCUGGGCGAAUCUUGUCUGGAUUCAACGGAGCGGCGACUACCUCCUUGAGAGACAUUGUGCUGCCGGUCCAAGUAGACCCAGUCACUCUCAACGUACAAUUUUCGGUGGUACAAGAUUUAUCACCCUUCAAUGUUAUCUUGGGGCGCACAUGGCUGCACUAUAUGAAAGCCAUCCCCUCUACUUACCAUCAAAUGGUAAGCUUUCUCACUGAAGAUGGGCAAGUCGACCUAUACGGCAACCAGUUGGCCGCUCGCCAAUGCUAUCAGAUAGCGCGAGAAGUAGGGACCAGCCAGGAGGACAAACCCCUCCCUGAGCCCACCAACGCACUUAACCAAUAGCAAUUACUGAGUCCGGCGGACAAAGAUCCCCUGACAGCGGAUCCCUUGCGAACGAUACAGAUUUCGGAAGAAAGUACUCACUUCACACAUAUUAGUUCCCUUUUGACACGCGAAGAGGCAAGGAACAUCCAAGACACCCUUCGACAAAGCCAUGACGUCUUUGCAUAGGCGUAUUCUGAUAUGAAGGGAAUUCACCCCUCCAUCGUCUCUCAUAGGCUUAACGUCUUGCCAACAGCGAAACCUGUCCGACAGAGGGUCAGACGUUUUCACCCAGACAGGCAAAAACUUAUCAGGGAUGAGAUUGACAAGUUGCUGGAAGCCGGAUUCAUUAGAGAAGUGGAGUACGUAUCCGAACUGGUUGGCAAAUGUAGUAGUGGUCCCCAAAAAGGAAGGCAAAUGGCGGGUGUGCAUCGAUUACACCAACCUCAACAAUGCAUGCCCAAAAGACAGUUUCCCUCUACCGCGGAUAGACCAAAUUGUAGACUCCACCGCUGGACAAGGAAUGCUCUUUUUCUUGGAUGCCUUCUCCGGAUACCACCAAAUCCCCAUGGCCCCGGCCGACGAUGAAAAGACAGCCUUCAUAACGCCACACGGACUUUAUUGCUACAAAGUCAUGCCAUUCGGACUCAAAAACGCUGACGCUACCUAUCAGAGACUGAUGAUGAAAAUCUUCAAACUUCUGGUCGGUCGCACAAUGGAGGUAUACAUCGAUGAUAUCGUGGUUAAGAGCAAAACCCGAGGGGAACAUGCCCUCCACUUGCAAGAAGUCUUCCACCUCUUAAGGAAGUAUGGCAUGAAGCUGAAUCCAUCCAAAUGCGCUUUUGGCAUAAGUGCUGGAAAGUUCCUGGGAUUCAUGGUCAGCCAAAGAGGGAUAGAGGUUAGCCCGGAUCAAGUUAAGACAGUCAUGGAAACACCACCCCCCAGGAGUAAAAAGGAGUUACAGCGCCUCACAGGCAAGCUCAUCGCACUAGGGCGCUUCAUAGCCCGCUUCAUUGAUGAAUUGCGACCCUUCUUCUUGGCAAUACGAAAAGCCGGUGCGAACGGGUGGACGGACAGCUGCCAGAGCGCUUUCAAAAAAAUCAAACACUACCUCAUGCAACCACUCAUUCUAAACAGCCCCCUCCCUGGAGAAAAAUUGUAUAUGUAUCUGGCUGUAUCAGAAUGGGUCAUUAGCGUUGUUCUAUUCCGCUGCCCCUCACACAAGGAGCAAAAACCUAAUUAUUAUGUUAGCAGAGCGUUGGCUGACGUAGAAACAAGGUACUCAAAGAUCGAGCAAACGGCUUUGGCCCUUCGAAGUGCCGCCCAGAAGCUCCGCCCUUACUUCCAAGCCCACCCGGUGGUCGUGCUCAUCGACCAGCCCCUUCGCAACAUCUUGCACAAGUCGGACCUAAUCGGAAGAAUGCUUCAAUGGGCUAUAGAGUUGAGCGAGUAUGGAAUUGAAUACCAACCAAAAUUGUCCAUGAAAGGGCAAGUAAUGGCUGACUUUGUGCUGGAAUACUCCCAAAGACCUGCUCAACACAAAGAACCACGCGAAGAAGAGUGGUGGACUUUACGGGAUGAUGGAGCCUCUCGAUUAUCAGGAUCGGGAGUAGGGCUCGUGCUGCGAUCCCCAACAGGAGAGCAGUUGGAGGAAGCUAUCCGACUAGGAUUCCUCGCGUCUAACAAUGAAGCAGAAUAUGAGGUCAUCCUAUCCGGAUUAGAUCUCGCCCUGGCCCUGUCCGUCUCCAUGCUCCGAGUCUACAGCGAUUCCCAACUCGUGGUAAGGCACGUCCAUAAGGAAUACGAAGCUAAGGAUGAGCGCAUGGCGCGAUAUCUGACUAAAGUAAGAGACAUCCUACAACGGUUCGCCGAAUGGACCCUCGAAAAAAUUAAACGAAACGAUAAUGAACGUGCCGACGCCCUGGCAGGGAUAGUCGCUUCCCUCCCCAUCAAAGAAGCCAUAUUAUUGCCCAUACACGUGCAAACCAACCCCUUCGUCACGGAAGCAUCCACAUGCAAUACCAUUGAGGUGAGCCAAGCCAACGGCCAAGAGUGGACGGAAGCCAUAAUAAAGUAUCUCCGGACAGGCACUUUGCCCGAAGAGCCCAGGCAGGCACAUAAGACCAGGGUACAAGCCGCCCAUUUUACCCUAAUCGGGGGGCACCUUUACAAACGGUCCUUCACAGGCCCCUAUCUCAGGUGCCUAAACCACUCAGAAGCCCGGUAAGUGUUAGCUGAGUUGCAUGAGGGGGUGUGCAGCAAUCAUUCCGGAGGUCGAUCUCUAGCGCAUCGGGCCCACUCGCAAGGAUAUUAUUGGCCCACGAUGAAGAAAGAUGCGACAGCUCAUGUCAAAAAGUGUGACAAAUGCCAGAGGCAUGCACCCAUACCACAUAUGCCAUCGGAGACAUUAAAACCGAUUUCUAGCCCCUGGCCCUUCGCGCAAUGAGGGAUGGACAUAGUAGGACCCCUACCAACUGCAACUGCCCAGAAGAAAUUCUUGCUCGUCACCACAGAUUAUUUUAGUAAAUGGGUGGAAGCUGAAGCAUACGCUAGCAUCAAAGACAAAGACGUCACCAAGUUCGUAUGGAAAAACAUCAUCUACUGCUUUGGAAUCCCUCAAACCAUUAUAGCUGACAACGGCCCAUAGUUUGAUAGCAUCACUUUCCAGAAUUUCUGUUCGGAACUCAACAUCCGGAAUUUAUACUCCACACCGCGUUAUCCUCAAAGCAAUGGACAAGCAGAGGCCACAAACAAAACCCUAAUAACUUCCUUAAAGAAAAGGCUCGAGCAAGCCAAAGGGAAGUGGGUAGAGGAGCUACCUGACGUCCUAUAGGAAAUACUCCCUUCGCCCUCGCAUAUGGUAUGGAUGCAGUCAUUCCUACAUAAAUAGGGCUACCCACUAUCCGGACUGAGGCAGAACGGCAGGGUGAUGCAAAUGUGGAACUAGGAAGAAAUUUGGACUGGGCGGACGAAGUGAGAAAGAGUGCAUCCAUCCGGAUGGCCGACUAUCAACAAAGGGCAGCCGCUCACUAUAACCGCAAGGCAAGACCCAAGAGCUUCAAAAGUGGAACGCUGGUCCUCAGGAAGGUUUUUGAAAAUACUGCUGAAACGGGAGCAGGAAAAUUCCAAGCCAAUUGGGAAGGCCCCUACAUAGUAUCCAAGACAAGUGAAAGCGGAGCCUAUCAUCUACAGAAGCUAGACGGAACUCCGCUGCUCCGUCCAUGGAAUGUAUCCAAUCUUAAGCAGUAUUAUCAAUGAAAGGAACGGAAGAGAAAGCAAAAGAGACAGAGAAAAUGUAAUGUAUUUGUAAGAUAAGGAACAAAGUGUCUUUAUAAAAAUAGCUGCCCCAUAUGCAGCAAAACAAAGGAAAAAUUAUAAAGUCCGCACAAAAGGAAAUCUCAGCUAGACGGAUCCCCAGGUGCCGCAUCCUCCUCAUCAGAAGGGAAAGAAGGAAUAUCAUGCAUAAUUUCGUGCUUCUUCAUACAACAGCGGUAGCCGAAGAAGUACAUCUCGUCCGCCUGCUGCUAGUAUUCUUCUUCCAUCUCCUUCUUCUGGGCGGCGAACCUAGCCUCCAUCUCCUCCUUUUGAGCCGCCAGACCCGCCCGCAAAUCCUCUAACUCCUUCUUCUGAGCGGCGAGGCUAGCUCGGAGUUCUUCCGUCUCUCUUUUCAACUGGAGGUUCUCCUGCCUAGCUUCACUGACUUGGCUCUCCAAGGCUUCCUUUUCUUUCUCUAGAAUAUCAGCCUCAGCUCGGAUAGCGUCCUUCUCCCCCUCAACCCGGCACAGCUGCUCCGACCCAUCCACCACAGCUUUUCGGCCAGUGGCCAACUCAGCCUCAACCUUCUUCAACUGGGCGCGCAGCUCCUCGACGGCACCCAGAUGCUGGGAGAUAAAGGCACGCAUGGCCUCUGCCACCUUCAGCCGCUUGAAAAGCUGCUCGCGUGUGCGCAUCAUGUGGCGGAUGCUGGUUAUAGCCUGGGCAAAGCGACAACAAAACAACAGACAAUGUUACAAUAGAAAAGUGGUAACUGCUAAGAAACAAGAGAAAAACAGCAAAAAAGUAUUUACCACUUCAGCAGUCUCUAGGAUCGUCCAUUCCUACAGGGGCUGAAUGCAGGACACGGCGGACUUAGAAGUACCAAAAGGGAGUCGUGCCUCUGCGUCUGUGAAGCAUGGCACCCCCUUCAGCAUCUCCAUCAGUUCCUCCCAACUUGGAGAAACUGCUGCAGCAUGACUGCUCUUCUCUUCCGGAGCCUCCUCACCGUUCGACGCGUCCGAAACCCCCUCUGACAUAGAGGUGUCCACCACAACAGGGGAGCGUAGGCCUGAACCGUGGCCGCCGCGCUAGAUCCUACGGCAUCACUUGCACUGGCACCAUCCCCGUAUGAACGGGUCGCAGCUGACGCCGGAACCUUUGGCGUCGGUUCCUCCCCACCCCGAUCCGGGCAAACUUUCUUAGCUGGGGGAGGCCCAAGGUCGAAGGGGACGUGCAACCAUUUGCCAUGUCUGCGCAGAAGCCUCGCCCUAAGGUCACUUGUGCUUCUCAUUUCCUCUGGCUCGUCCAUGACCUGCAAGCCAGCAGACUUCGGUUCAGGCUAGGGAGAGCUAGGCUUCGAGUGGAAGAUUACAAGCUGAAGGGAACUGGAGGUGGCCUCAGGUUCCUCAGCCUCCUCAGACUCCGGGAUAGUGUGGUCCGACCGGUUGGGCCCGAACCUACAAGACGAAGACGAAGCCUCAGGAGUGGGGGUCGCUAUCCGGAGCACCUGCGCAAGUGUCUUCUUCGUCUUCUUCUUCUUCUUUUCCUUUGUGGCCGGGGGACAGGCCGCUGGAGAAGAGUCGCGCCCCUUCUCACCAGGUGCUUUCCUUAAUGUCCCCUCCUGCCUCUUCUCCUCUUGCUGGUCAAGGCGUUCUUGACGCGCCUUUGCGUCAGCCUCGUGAGCCCUCUCGUAAAAAGACAAAUCUUUCAAUACAAAAUGCUUCCCAAGCACUACCCGUUUUGGCAAUCGCCUAAGGAGAAUGUUGGUGACGUACGGUUGAGGCUCCCGGACUACCGCCAACAGGUUCCGGGCAAUGAGCAGCGUCUGAUAAUGCCUCUCAGCUGCAGUGAUCUCGAAUAACUUGUUCAAGCGGUCGAAAGACGCCUUUUCCACCCACUCGACCAGGCGACCCCUCUUGGACGUACCUACGUUGCCCACAACCAAAGACGUUAGCCAUCUGAUAACAUUAAACUAAGAGAACAACAAGUGAACGUCGGACAAACUCCGCAAGCUACCCUACUCGGGAGCGCUAGCGAACGGUUUGGGGAAAACGCUCUCUCCGGAUGCUCCGACAGUCCAGCCCAAACACCCUUGACUAAUACAUGCCCCUUGGCUCCCCCCUUCGUCGAAUCUAGAAGAUGAGUCACCAAUUGGAGGGACGACAUAUAGGCAGCCAGGCUGAAGAGGUCAGUCUUUCCCUUCUUGAUGGAAUAGAUGAAAAGGACCUCCAGCAGCGAAAGGUCCAAGUUAAACAGCAUGCUCAGAAUGCUGCACCCCAUCAGCACCCGGACUAUGUUGGGAUGGAUGUAGGCCGAAGAGAUCUGGAUGAAGUGAAGAAACUCUUUGAACAAGGACGGGAGAGGGAACCGGAGCCCCGCAUUGAAUUGCUCCUUGGAGAAAUAGAUAGCGUUGUCCGCAGAUUUCUCAGUGGAUAUGGCCUCUCCAUCCACAAGCUGAACGGACACGCCAUUCGAAAUGCAGAAGCGUUCACAAAACUACCUCACGUUCAGCUUGUCAACAGGCUUUUCCGCAUAGACCACCCCGAAAGCGUUCUUUCCGCUCUGCCCGACCGCACUUGAUGAAGCUACGUCCUUUUUCGCAGGCAUUUUAAAGCGUGGGGCCGAAACGGAACCUGCAUGGCGGGAUGCCAACAGUAAAAAAAAAAGGACCUGGCCCCACAGCCCUAACAGCAAAAACGCCGAGAAAACCUAAGAUACCCAACAUCCCCAUCCUAACCCUUGGCUCUACCCCAAAGCAAGAUCGGUCACCCACAAAAGGUGCAGGGGGGCAACAGGAACCCUAACGCACCCAAAACAAAACCAAAACCCCCCGAAAAAUCCUUGAACACCAGUACCGACCCCCAGUCACAAGUAGCUUACCCAACAAGCCAGAAACAAUCAAAAACAAACACAAACGGGAAGAAGGCAGAAAUAGAGAACGUACCUAGCGCAAACUGGCAAAACGGAGAUGAAGCCCGCGAUGCAGUCACCCUCACGACACGAAUGUCGCUAGCAGAAGCCCUAGAACUUCACUUACAGGCGAAGAUACGCAGAAAGCCGAAGAGAAAGCACUACCAACAGAAAUGCAGAAGGAAGAAAUGCAGGCGUAGGGGGGCUCGGUCUGCUAUUUAAAGGGAGACAGCCCCUCGGUAUUCCAAACGCCUAGCCGUGCCGUUAUUGAAAAGACAUACCGCCUGGGAAUUCCCAAGGACGGCGGCUCGUCAUAAAUGUCCUUCCUCCUUUUCGCCUCCGCACCGCCACGUGGCCCAAUGAGCGCAAAAAAACAACCUAAGUUUCAAAACCAUCAUUUUUUAACCCGCCCAUUCUGCCCAGGCAAAAUCGACAGGUUAAAAGGGGGGCAUUAUAGGGACCCCCCCCCCCCCCCCCNNNNNNNNNNNNNNNNNNNNNNNNNNNNNNNNNNNNNNNNNNNNNNNNNNNNNNNNNNNNNNNNNNNNNNNNNNNNNNNNNNNNNNNNNNNNNNNNNNNNGGGGCAUUAUAGGGACCCCCCCCCCCCCCCCUCCCCCCUCCCCCCACGAUGACACGCGGCGCGCACAGCCAUCCGAAUCACCUCUAUCGGGGUCCCCCAGGGGAGGGAGGAGCACCCUGCACUCUCAAAUAUCAUACCCGGGCGACGCUCCAUCCUAUCCGGAUCAUUGACUGUAAGGAGAAAGCCUUGCUGAGUCAUCCCAAACAGCCUGUCACAGCCCACGUUUCGCCGCCUACAAAGCGAAAGGACAGGAGGGAUGGCAAGUCACCUCCCAUGAUAUCUAACAGCCGCCUGCAAGGUGAUGAUGACUCUGCCACCACCUUGAAGACAUCAUGACAAGCCAAAAAGUCUUCCCACCAUUAAAAAGGGGAGCAAAGCUUCUGACACUAUAUAAAAGGACCUUCACACAAAGAAGAAGGUAAGGGAGCUACCCCAGAAAAGAGGUCAAGAGCCUGAUCUUUUAAGCCAUGACUAACAAAACCAUCGGAGGAUGUGUUCGGACAUCCUGUCUGGACAUCUUUUUCAGGGUCGAUUGAGCUAGAACUCAUUCUUGGUUGAAAGUGCGCGUCCACUUAGCAGCAGCGUGGAUCCCUGGGACGCGAGGCAUCAAUAGUGUCUUCAAAAUUUUCUUUGAAAAAUGUGAAGAUCCAUCCCUAAAAAGUUGGAAAUAGGAAAUAAUCAAGCUGACAAAAACAAAAGUGAUUAACACAAGAAAAGCAUAAAAAUUUCCUUUACGGCAACCAAUUCCAAAAUAGCAGCAAUUACCAUUGCCAAUGUAUCAACGAGAAAUGCGCGCUUUCCACGAGCAUUUCCGAGCUGAGAAAUCUGUCUGCAAGCAAAUGGAUGAACAACUGACCCAUUCCAUUCAAACAAUGCCCCCAAUCUGAUAAAAGAAAACGCUCUCCUCGAUCCAAACAUUAAGAAUUCUCAAGAACAAAACUAGUAGAGGAAUAAGCAAAUUGCGGUGAAAUUCUUUAUCUGAACCGCGGAUGUGAGAGAAAAGAGAGAAACCGCCAAAACCUGGAGGAAGGGGGUGGUUGAAAUUGAAAGCCUAUGACGAAUCUUUCUACCAUUUUUAUAAGAAGGCUUCCUUGAAAGCUUUGCAAACUUCCUCUUUUCACCUCCCGCGGAAAGUGUUCGUUCAAAGGCCCGAUGGGUGGGGAUUACUUGUAAUAUAAUUAGAAAAUUACAUAAAAGUUGAAAAUAAGCCAAAAAAUAAAUGUUUUUUUUGUUAUUUAUUUAUUAUGAAAUUUUAUGCCAUUAAAUUAUUAAUUUUAGUAGGGUAAUAAUUCCUUGUAGAAUUAUAAAUAUUAAGUAUUCAAGAAGUUCUUGAAUAUUAAAUAACUUUUAACUUUAAGGGCAUACUACCCUUUUGUUAUAUCUUAUCAUCUAUGUUGGUAAUAAAUAUAUUGUAUUUUUUAAAAUUCAAGGAAAAAUAUGAAAAUAAAAGGAAUUAAAAAGUGAAAGAAAUGGAAAAUAAAUUUAAAGUGAAGAUAUUAUCCUUUAUAUGUGAUAUGUUGAUGAUAAUAUGUUGUAUAUAUUUUUUAUCUUAUAUUUGAUUAUUGAAAAAAUAAAAUAAAAAUGAAAAAUACAUUUAAAGUUAAUAAAUUAUUUAUAUAUAUAUAUAUUUAAAUUUAAUAUUUUAUGGUACACUAAAUAUAAAAAAAAAUUAAUAUAUUUUUCUUUAAUAUUUUUUGUUAACUAAAUGUAACGUAAUAAAAACUCAUGGUAUACCAAACUAUUGAAGCGCAUGGUUAAAUUUAAAGUUAUAAAGAGAGUUUUUAAGAUGAGUAAUCAGGAAAAAGAAAGCCUAUUAAUAUUUUUUUUAGGCAGGAAGAUAGAUAAGAAUUACUACAAUCUCAAUCUGGCAUGUAAUCCACUGAGGAGGGGGGCAGUGGAAAAUACAUUUGCUCUCUCAAAUCAAACUGCAUUACUUACUUAAACAAUGAAAAUAAAAUUUAUUGAUAAAUAAAACCAUUGUAUAACCAUGUACUGAACCAGGGUAUAGUAAAACAAUUCCCCUCCCCUUCCCUUGCACAACAACAAAAGGAUUACUACAUCUUUAUGAUAAAGAGGAAGGGGGAGUUUUGAAAGAAGAUUUCCAAAUUGAUUAGCAACAAUAAAUAUAGCAUAGUGCCACUUCUGCAGCUUGGAUUCCUCUUCUAACAUACAUCCUAACCCAAACUCUCUCCAAUCUUACUUUGGUCUUCUUCGGUAAGGGUAUAGAAUGUCAUCCAGACUCUCUUUUAGAUAAUUUCCCACCUUAUUCACAUUCCUGGCAACACCUGAUGCCACCAGACUUGCAUUCCUUACAAACCUGCAUUGUUAUUCACAAGCAUUAGAUUUCGGGUUUUCUGAGAAUAAAUUGGAAGACACUGUAUGUAUUUGAGAUGAAUUAUUGGCUUGCCUGUUCAAGUACUCAUUCCCUGUGGAAUGUGGCGGUUUAUAGGGGCGAGGUUGAGGAAAAGCAUGGCUGUCUAUAACAUAAGAAUAAACAGAAGGCAGAAGGUCAAAAAACUUGAACAAUAACAUUAUUUAAAACAUUGAAACCUCAAGAGGAAAUAGAACCAUUAUUCAAUAAGAAGGUUUAUCAAGGUUGAAAGUUGGGAGGUGAUGUUUCAGUAAAACCUUGAAAAGAAAUGGAUGAUAUGAGCAAAUGAGCAGUAAAGAAUGUGACUCCUUGUUAACUAUAGAAUCAUAAACAUUCCUCAUAUCAUGUCCUCAAAUUUAGCAACCAUUUAGAAGCUACAUGGAAAAUGAAAACAACCUUAGCACUUGUUUAAUUCUUUGUAAUUAUGAGUUUAACAAUUAGUGCUACAAACCCACUUUACAAGAAGAAAUUUAUUGAUGCUAGAAUGGAUCUCAUUUCCUAUAAUUUUUUUUUUUCAAAUAGAUACAACAAUACAUAAUUUUUGUCUCCUUUUCCUGAAGGAAAAAAAAAACAAGGAAUAAAAUGUUAGAAAUCCAAAAGGGAACUCCCAACACUUCUGUGGAUUUGAAAGAUGUUAAACAAAUUUGAAGCAUAAUAUGUUAUUCAAAGUAGAGAGUUCCAUUUUCAACAAUUUGAGUGACAAUCAAUGGUUAUUGCCAUUUAUUUCUUUUCGUGUUGGUGCAUUUUUGUGUGUAAAAAAAUAAAAAAAUAAAAAUCAAACUAUAACAUAGAACAUGACCAAUGAAAAAGAGAACAAAAAGUAAAUUGCUUUUAAUACCUUCUCUUCUCUGAGCAGGAGCAGGAACAUGGUUAGCGGACCCAUGGUGAGCAGGAACAUGAUUAGCAGACCCAUGGUGUGCAGGAGAAGUUCUCUUGUCCAACAAAACCUACAAGAAGCAAAGCAAGAUAAAUUAUAACUUGACAAAAAGGAGAUAACACAUGUAAGCAAGAGCCUGAUUAUUAGAAAAUUGAAUUCCAAAUCAAUCAAAAUCUAUUUAAAUACAAUCCAGAUAAAAAGUAAGGAACUUGAAUAUAAUGUAAACCAAACCGGACACAAAGCUAGAUGGUUGGAUUAUGAAUUUACACCACUCACUUAUUUGUACAAAAAAGAACAAAGAAAGAAAUUCAAGGAUUUCAUUAAAAAAUCUAGGCAAAAGAACAUACAUGACUGAGCUUCUGUAAAUUUCCAUGAAAUUUAAUGCCACUUCACAGUAAUCAAGAUUCAAUUUGCAUUCCAUCUUUCAAACCUUGUACACUUGCAUUAAGCUUUUAGUUGUGCAUUUCCAAAACAUAAUCAUGCUUCAAUACGACAAUAAAAUUUAAGCCAAAGGUAAAUCCUAGUUUGCAUAACUUCUCUCCUCAUCCUAGUUUGCAUAAGGAAAUUUAGAAGUUUGAGUUAAAAACACUCACACACAAACACUUACGACCUAUUUAAUAACGUUUUUUAAAACAGUUCUCAAAAAAUAGUUUAUGAGAGCAGUUUUUUAAAACAAUCUCAAUUAUCUCUAAGAAUAAAGAUCUAUUUAAAAAAUCAUAUAUAUAAAACACAAUUUUCUUGGCUUCCUCUCCAUGAAACAAUGUACACUUAUGCACAAUGCAAAAGUUCCCACAGUAUUCUCCAUUUUUUUUUUUGAAUUGGCAAUGAUACAAUUUUAUAAACAAGCGCCAUAGAAACAGCCCAUCAAGGAACAAAGGAUGUAUACCACAAGAGCCAAAGAAACAAUAAAAAAAUGGAGCUAAGGAACAACCAAAAUGAGAGUACAAAAAACAACUUUAUCCCAUAAUGAGACCCCAACCAAUCAACAAAAUCAAUUAAAUGUACAACUUUACUCAUAAAAAAAGAUUACUAAGAAAUAGGCUCUUCAAAACACAAAUAGGUCAUUCCUUAUCCUCAAAUGACCUUCGAUUUUUCUCUUUCCAUAUUGUCUAAAAGAUGCAUAAAGGAACAACUCUCCAAGCCCUUUUACACCUUUUUUCUGAUGAAUGAUCCACGUCACCCUAGCAGAGCCUCUCUCAUUGUCACCAACAACACCCAAGGAACACCAAACAAAGAGAAGAACAACCGACAAAUAACCCUUGCCUUGGAAGGGUGAAGAAAAAUGUAAUGGAUUGACUCUUCAACUUUACAUAGGAAGCAUCCAUUAACCAAUGUCCACCCUCUUCUUUGAAACGAAUCAAAAGUCAAAAUCUUUCCCAACAAGCUUUCCACGAAAAUAAAUUUGUUUUAGAUGGAAUCUGUGAAUUCCAAAUGACCCCCAUUGGAGAAGGAGUUAAACUUCCCAAUCCCAAGGCAACAUAAUGAGACUUUACUGAGAAGGUAUCAUUCCUCAAUCCACACUACCCUAUACUACUCUUUUUUUUUUCUUUUUUUUUUUGUAGGUAAAUUAUUGUCCCCAUUGGUACUUGAACCCGAAACCUCCCACAAACCCUCCCCAUACCCUAUCCUACUCUCUAUUCACUACCUUACCUUGCAAUCUAGAGAAAAAUUGUUCUACAUUUUCCAAUUCUCAAUCAUUAAGCUGUCUAGAAAAGUAAGGGUUCCAAUGGCCCUUUUCCUUGUUUGAUCUCUUAAAUCAGUCACCCAAGCCUUUUUUCAUAAGGCUAAAGCAUACAAAGAUGAAAAAGAAACACACAAUGACUCAUCCAAAACUUCACCCUCCUCCCAUUACCCACAAAAAAGGAAAUUCCACUAUUAAAGAUAGCUCAAUCCUUCCUAAUAGCUUUUCGUAACUCAACACCAUACUCAUCUCUCACAUCACAACACGACCACCUCCCUUUUUCCUCUCCAUAUUUUCCACAUAUAACCUGUCUCUAGAGAGCUCCCCUUUUCAUCACCAACUUCACUUGCACAAAAAUGCUUUAUUCAAAGAAAGACUUCCAACACCCAAACACGCCCACACACCACUUUCCUUUCUCCGUGCAUACAGUUGACCACUUCACUAGAUGAAAUUUAUUGUCCAAAGUCUCUUUGAAUCCUCUCUAGUAUCAUUCCAACUUUUCUCAAAAUGGACAACAAUGACAUAAAAUAGAUGGGGAAGCUAGAUAAUGUGCUCCGGAUCAAAACAAAUCUUCCCCCUUUUUCUGAAAUAUAUUGUCUUUUUCCACAUAGACAACCUCUUGCACAAUUUCUCUUCCACUUCAUCCCAAGCAGCCACUAAUUUAAAAGAAAUGCUCAAAGGAAGCCUCAUAUACACCCCAAUUCAUAGGCCAAUUCCCCGACAUUGUCCACCCUCCCAACUCUAAUUAACUCACUCUUUUCCAAAUUAAUUUUCAAACCAGAGAUGAUUUCAAACCACAUGAGCAAUCAGCUUAAAUGAACCAUUUGGUCUUGAGAAACCUUACAAAAACAAGGGUAUCACUUGCAAACAAUAAAUGAGACACCUCCCCUUCACCCUAAAACCUGACAGAUGGCCUCCAUCCUUAACCAUCUAUAGAAGGCAACUAAGGGCCUCCAUUGCUAUAGCAAAUAUGUAGGGACAAAGAGGAUCCCCUGCCUCAAUCUGCUUAAACUUUGAAAAAAGGCAAAAGGGAUGUCAUUAACAAGUACCGAACACUUUGCAGAAGAACUAUACCACACAAAAAACAAUCGAAAACACCACAAAUUUGUUUUCAAAAAGCAACCUAUUUUAAAACAAGUUCUCAAAAAAACUGUUUUCUGUCAAAAUUUCACCAAAUGUACUUUCUAAGUAAGAGAAAUGUUGUCAACACCAGUUUCCAAAUAGACCCUUAUAUUUUGGCAUGCAUCACUAAAAAUAUAAUCCAACAAGGUAUAUCUCAACAAAUUUUUUGAGUUAAAAAUAAUCUGUUUACCACAUUUCUUGUAUGAGGAAAGAUAGAAAAAAUACAUCUGAAUGUAAUACCUCAAGACCAACACAGAAUGGCAAUUCUGCUUGUUUCUCUUCCUGAUCAGCAGAUGGAUUUUUGUUGUCCAAAUACACUGAGUAACCAGCGCAAGCAUACCUGAAGUCUGUAAGACUUCGACCCUCUUUAGAAGCUUCCAACUCAGAUUCUCCCACAAUAUAGCUUGGUACUGUUCAUAAACUUUAAAAUUAAUACAAAUAUAACAUAUUUAACGAAUAUAACUCUUAAUUAGGCACGAAACGAAUGAUCAAUGCAUUAAAAAAAACACCAAAAAAAAAACUAGCUACUAAGAUUAGAAAUUAGUGAAAUCUCUUAACAUGGUUUCUUCUAUACAUACAUAUUCAGUAAGAUAUGAAGCUCUCCAUGGGUCAAAACAUUAACAAGCACUUCAGUAUGAGAAUGAAAGGCAACAAAUAUCUAGAAGCACCAGGCACAUCAAAGCGACUUAUCUCAAGUAAGGAUUAAGGCCUAGACUCCACAGCUUAGCACAGAAAAAGCGCAUCUAUCUAUUCACAAUGCGGACCUAUUUGCGAUUUAAAAAGAGUCUAAAAUUUGGUUCUCUGGAUGGAUAUCAAGCUAUGACAUUGGAUCUAUCCAAAGAGUAAAACAGGAGAUUUGAUUCAUGAUUCAACAUUAUUGCUUCGCAAAUAUUGUUUUAGAGACUUGACUAAAACCCUAGAACAUAAAAAAAUCAAAGAAAAACCAACACAGAAGUGAACCCCUCCAAUGUACCAACAGUGAUUUCAAGAUUAGUGACCUGAAGCUUUAUUUGCAUCGCCUUUCAAAUUCUAUAUUGAUACCACACACUUGAAGCCACUCCAUGAGUAUGACAUACAUGCUAUAGAAAAAAGCAUCAAUUCCUACUUUAAUUAAAUCAAUAGCAUCACAGAUCAUGCCCUAGAAAAAGAGGUAAAUUUACAUUACACAAAUGGACCUGACGUUUCAAUCUAAUCCCAUAUUGAAGAUCCUAAUCAACCAUAAUGCCAGUUAGCACUUAGCACCACACAGUGCCGCGUCAGAUUAAAUUUCUGAUUUUUCUUCGAUCUUCCUCCAGUUUCCUCAGGAGUCAAACAGAGAGAGAAAUAAAUACAACUAGAAAAAUAUGCAUAUAUAGGGAGAGAGGCACCUUGAUGAAGGGUUCUACUGAUGCCGAUGCACCUAGGGUUUUGAGACUUGGAUUUGAGAAUAGACGAGUAGUAUAGACAUCCCUUGCAUGACUUGCCCUUUGAUCCUCUAACAGGGUUAGGGUUAGGGUUAGGGCUAGGGCUAGGGCUAGGGUUAGGGAUUCCGUCGUCUUCUUUAUCCAUCUCCAUCUUUCGGGUUUCACUUGCAGUUGCAGAUGUGUUUCUCUCUCCCUAUGAAGCCACGCAUAAGUUCUUUAUAGGCAUCAUAAGAUCAUAAUACGAUACUGACUCUCAGUUCUAGUGCAAUUCCAAUAGGGCCAUUCAAGAUUCCAAUUUAAAAAAUAAAUAAAUUAUAUAUAUAUAUAUAUAUAUAUAUAUAUAUAUGAAAAAUAAAUAAAUUAUUAAGAGCUCGUUUUGGAUGUAUUUUCUAUUUUUUUAUUUUUAGAAAUAGAAAUUAAUAAAAUAAAAGGUCUAAAAUCUUAUUAAAAGGUUAUAGAUUUAUGUCCUAAAAAUUAUUUUUAAAAUUCUUUUAUAUUUGAGAUAGAGAAAAUUUUUAAUAAUUUGAUUUUUUUUAAUGAUUUUUUAAAAGUAAUUAAUAUAUAUUUUAUAUAAAAAUUAUUAUUAAAAACAGAAAAUACUAAAUAUACAUUAAGAAAUAUAUUUUCUUUAUACUUUUAUAAAAAAAUUAAUAUUUUUCCAUUUUUAAUGUAGUAUUUUUUUAUCAUAUAGUGAAAGAUAAUUUUCUUAAGUUUUAUGACUAAUUUGAAAUAAUCAAUAUAUUGUUAAUAUUUAUUUUCUCCUAAAUUGAUUAAUUUAUGAGUGAGUUUGAAUGUAUGAUUAUUUUGUUCUAACGAAAUAAUAUUAUUAUUUUAAAAGACUUAAUAAUUUAAUUUAUAUCAAUCUUAAAUCUUUUUUUAUAAAAAUAAUUUUUGAUUUAAGUAAAAAUAAACUAUCUAUUUUAACUUAAUACUUAAAAUCAUUUUUAAUUUUAAGUUAUGAUAUUAAAUUAUUUUAAUUAAAAAAAUAAAAUUAAUAUAAAUUAAAUCAUUAAAUCGAUUUACCAAAAACCUUCAAAAUCAAGAAAAUUGUUUCAGAUAUUUGAAUUUUUGAACAAAAUCCCAAUCUAGAAAAUAAUUAAACGAUAUUCCAAAAAACUAAGAACUCUUUCAAAAUUAGUUUUCCAAACUCAAAAACAAUUUUUGAUAAAUAAAAAAAAAAAGUUUUGAAAACAGGCUUAUAUUCUAAAAACAAAUAUUAAUUAUUUUUACUUGCUUUCUGAAAAUUAUUUUAAAAAAUAGUUAUAUAAAUACAAAGGAUGGUUAAAAAGAAAAUACUAUAAAUAAAAAAUAAAUUUAAAACAUUUCAAAUUCCCAGAGAAAGACUUGUAUUUUAAAAAGCAGCAGAGAACCAUCCUUUGGCACCUGUAUUCAAAAACUGUUUUUGACAAUUGUGUUCUAAGGCGAUAGGAAGCAGGUCCUUAUUUUCUAAGAAUUAUUUUCCCAGAUUAUCGUCUGCCUCCAUAUACUGCCUCAAAUUAUAAGAUUAAAAAAUGAAGGACCUGCUUAGAAGUUGGAACCAAACACACUUGGACUGCUAUGGGCUAUGGAAUCGUCUUCCUUGAUAAGCAUUCAACAGUCAACAUUGCUAUUGAACCAGCAAAAGAGAAGUUUUCCUUUCCAAGCAAGCAUUAUAUUUCUGUAGGUACUCUCUCUAGUUUGAAGCACACAACAAACUCAGCCAUGCAAAUACUACCAAUAACUGGGGAGUGUGGGUUGGUUACUCUCCUAUCCUCAAAGCUGGAAUUUUUGCUUCUUCACAACAUCAGGCUAUUAGGAAUUAUAAACAUAUAUAAAAUAAACACCACAAAGGAAUUAUGAACUUUCUUGUCAACUCUCAGAUAACUUUUUCUCAUGAGUAAAAACUUCUCUACACAGUGUUUAUCCAAAUCUAAUUGAACAUCCUAAGGCUUCCUGUUGUGUCAUUUCCCACUGUACAUCCCGCCAACUGCUUCAGUCGUCCCUGGAAUUACAAACACCUACAAGUCUACACAGAUGGAUACCAUCCAAUCCCAUUGGGGCAUUGAGAUCACAGAGCAGGUUGAAUGAUUUCAACCUUCCACCUCACAGGAAUAAGUUUAACAACUAUUCUUCACCACAUUGAACUACUACUCCGAUGUCAGACAUAAGACCAUUCAAAAACUGUUAUCGAACUAAAUGGGAAAACAUCAGCUAUAAAGACAAAACAGGUGUCCAGCUAAACUGAAUUGUGUUUCACAAAUAUAAAAACGCAUCAAAGCUUAUAGAAAGUUGGUACCUCCUAAGAUGAAAAUUCUGUACACUACCACAAGUCACUGCUACUGCUACUGACUGAUAAUGGCAUGAUGCUCCUCUCAUGACACCACCAGUCUCUGCAGCUGUGGACAUCCUACAUUCAACUGUGCCGAUAAUCACAUGAUGCUCCCUUCUUGCAAUGCCCAUUCUCAUGAUACACACACAAUCUCUGCCCUUUAGGGGUUGAUCUACCAGAACCUCCUCCCCCUCCAUUGCCAAAUGAUGAUUGGCGAUUCCAAGGUCUGCCCCCGCCAUAACCAGGAUCUCCACCCUGGGAACCCCUGUCCCUUUGACCUGAGAAUCUAUCACCAUUAUGAUUUUGGUCACUUCCCCACAUGCCUUGGUUCCCUGUUGGUGCAACCCAACUUGGAAUUGCAUUUCCAGGUGCUGACGCUUGACCAGAAGCUCCCCAGUUCAUGUUUGUGUUUCCUGGUACUGGUCCCCAGCUCAUAUUUGGAUUUCCAGGCAUUGGACCCCAGCCAGCAUUUGGAUUCUGUGGCCCUGGCCUUGGGGCAGCACUUGGAUUUUCUGCAACACCCAUACCCCAAGGUAGGUUGGGUGGGGCAGCUGGAGCCAGGUUGGGUGGGGCCGGUGGGAUCAUAGCGGGUGGAGCAGGGGAGAUCAUGUUGGGUGGACCCGGAGGGAUAAUGUUUGGUGGACCAAGAGGGACUAGGUUGGGUGGGGCUGCAGAGAUCAUAUUGGGUGGCACUGAAGGAGUCAGGAUUGGAGGUGGAGGCAGAGGGUUCAGGUUAGGUGGAGCUGGGGGGCCCAGAUUGGGUGGGGUUGGAUGGCCUAGAUUGGUUGGAGCUGGAGGGCCAAAGCUGGGUGGAGCUCGAGGGCCCAUGUUAGGUGGAACAGAAGGAGCUAGGUUGGGCAGAGCCGGAGGACCAAGGUUGCCAGGAGGUGGAGGCUGGAAGUUUGGUGGAUUACUUGGAACUUGAGGUCUCCAAGAAUCAGAUAGAGGCAAACCUAGGCCUGGACUAGGGAAAUACCCAGCUAGAUUUCCUGUGCCAAGAG